RNAcentral lists this ribosomal RNA (748 nucleotides) under uncultured deep-sea bacterium. Its description in RNAcentral is "bacterial SSU rRNA". It matches the Rfam family "Bacterial small subunit ribosomal RNA", at positions 68 to 788 of the family's 1533-position model. The record is from RNAcentral.
GAGGAACAGGGUGCUUGCACCUUGUAACCGAGUGGCGGACGGGUGAGUAACACGUGAUCAACCUGUCUUUGGGAGGGGGACAACCUGGGGAAACCCGGGCUAAUACCGCAUAUCGUCCUAGGGUCGCAUGGCCCAUGGAUAAAAGGGGGCCUCUGCUUGCAAGCUCUCACCCGAAGAGGGGAUCGCGACGUAUCAGCUUGUUGGUGAGGUAACGGCUCACCAAGGCUUCGACGCGUAGCGGGUCUAAGAGGACGACCCGUCACAUUGGGACUGAGAUACGGCCCAGACUCCUACGGGAGGCAGCAGUGGGGAAUAUUGCGCAAUGGCCGAAAGGUUGACGCAGCGACGCCGCGUGUGGGACGAAGCCCUUCGGGGUGUAAACCACUGUCAGGGGGAAAGAACACUGGAGGUGUGAAUAGCGCUUCCAGCUGACGGUACCCCCAGAGGAAGCGCCGGCUAACUCCGUGCCAGCAGCCGCGGUAAGACGGGGGGCGCAAGCGUUGUUCGGAAUUACUGGGCGUAAGGGCGGGCAGGCGGUCUGCUCAGUCUUCUGUGAAAAUCCGGGGCUCAACCCCGCGAAAUGCAGAAGAUACUGGCAGACUAGAGACCGGUAGAGGCUAGCGGAAUUCCUGGUGUAGCGGUGGAAUGCGUAGAUAUCAGGAAGAACACCUGUGGCGAAGGCGGCUAGCUGGGCCGGAUCUGACGCUCAUCCGCGAAAGCGUGGGGAGCAAACAGGAUUAGAUACCCU